Molecule: ribosomal RNA, 255 nt
Filed under: uncultured Gardnerella sp.
Lineage: Bacteria; Bacillati; Actinomycetota; Actinomycetes; Bifidobacteriales; Bifidobacteriaceae
Description: partial 16S ribosomal RNA
Rfam family: Bacterial small subunit ribosomal RNA
Source: RNAcentral
CGAACGGGUGAGUAAUGCGUGACCAACCUGCCCCAUGCUCCAGAAUAGCUCUUGGAAACGGGUGGUAAUGCUGGAUGCUCCAACUUGACGCAUGUCUUGUUGGGAAAGUGUUUAGUGGCAUGGGAUGGGGUCGCGUCCUAUCAGCUUGUAGGCGGGGUAAUGGCCCACCUAGGCUUCGACGGGUAGCCGGCCUGAGAGGGCGGACGGCCACAUUGGGACUGAGAUACGGCCCAGACUCCUAGGGAGGCAGCAGGC